CCGGCGCACGGGUGAGUAACACGUAUGCAACCUGGCCGUGACAGAUGGAUAACCGGGAGAAAUCCCGCCUAAUACAGCAUGACGCCGGGAAGGGACAUCCCUUUUCCGGCCAAAGGGGGCGACUCCGGUCACGGAUGGGCAUGCGGCGCAUUAGGUAAUUGGUGGGGCAACGGCCCACCAAGCCGACGAUGCGUAGGGGUUCUGAGAGGAAGGUCCCCCACACUGGUACUGAGACACGGACCAGACUCCUACGGAAGGCAGCAG
Molecule: ribosomal RNA, 264 nt
Filed under: uncultured bacterium
Lineage: Bacteria
Description: partial 16S ribosomal RNA
Rfam family: Bacterial small subunit ribosomal RNA
Source: RNAcentral